AUUGAACGCUGGCGGCAUGCCUUACACGUGCAAGUCGAACGGUAACAGGUCUUCGGAUGCUGACGAGUGGCGAACGGGUGAGUAAUACAUCGGAACGUGCCUAGUAGUGGGGGAUAACUACUCGAAAGAGUGGCUAAUACCGCAUGAGAUCUACGGAUGAAAGCAGGGGAUCGCAAGACCUUGUGCUACUAGAGCGGCCGAUGGCAGAUUAGGUAGUUGGUGGGAUAAAAGCUUACCAAGCCGACGAUCUGUAGCUGAUCUGAGAGGACGAUCAGCCACACUGGGACUGAGACACGGCCCAGACUCCUACGGGAGGCAGCAGUGGGGAAUUUUGGACAAUGGGCGAAAGCCUGAUCCAGCAAUGCCGCGUGCAGGAUGAAGGCCUUCGGGUUGUAAACUGCUUUUGUACGGAACGAAAAGCCCCGGGUUAAUACCCUGGGGUCAUGACGGUACCGUAAGAAUAAGCACCGGCUAACUACGUGCCAGCCGCCGCAGUAA
Molecule: ribosomal RNA, 498 nt
Filed under: uncultured bacterium
Lineage: Bacteria
Description: partial 16S ribosomal RNA
Rfam family: Bacterial small subunit ribosomal RNA
Source: RNAcentral